This 1415-nucleotide long non-coding RNA is filed under the name Salmo salar (Atlantic salmon). RNAcentral describes it as "lncRNA (ENSSSAG00000088982.1)". The record is from RNAcentral. Lineage: Eukaryota; Metazoa; Chordata; Actinopteri; Salmoniformes; Salmonidae.
GUCAAACACAUGGUUUCCAUGUGUCCGAUACCAUUCCAUUUACUCCUUUUCAGACAUUGUUAUGAGCCGUCCUGUGACAUUACAAGUUACAACAUUACUUAGUCAAAUUACCUUAAUACACCCACACUCAAUCAAUCACAUUUAUUUUAUAAAGCCCUUUUAACAUCACAAAGUGUUUUACAGAUUCCCAGCCUAAAACCCCACAGAGCAAUGCAGAUGCACAAUGCUCUACAAUGGUUUUUCCUUUCUCUGUUUACAGGUGCUAAUUUCUGCAUACCGGAAGGAGAGUCUGAGUGCCAUGUUUAAAACCGGUUUCUAUAUCAACGACCUGAGUAUGCAUGAGUCCAGUAGAGCCCUGGUACUGGCACUAUAAAGGGAAUAGGGUGCGACCUACGGUUGAGACCAUAGGUCAUGCAUGGUGGUGGCGGGGGGCUCCAGAGAAGACCAUGCCCACAACAUCUGUGACAUGGUGGCGGCUGGGGUAUUGGGUCAUAAAAGGCCAUGAUACAGUCUCCAUGGCGAUACAGUCCACACUGCAUCAGAGAGAGAGAUUCUGUUUAUGGCUAUCUCACAACACAGCUGGAAGACGAAGGCCAUCAUUACUGAAAUUAUUUCCAAAUCACUGCCAUCAAAACAUUAUUAUAUUCUGUAAUCAGAUGUUUUUGUAACAUGAUACUCCCUGCCGUUGAACCAAUUUGUUGCAAAGGUUUCUGAAAAAAUCUGAGAACGAGAGAACAAAUAUAUUAUUGUGUGAACUAUUUUAAUCAACAUCACCCUAAACUGUCAAUCACAAACCCUAGCUUGGUGUUGGGGCUCUGUCAUCACUGGUCUGUCUUUGAGUCUGUGCAUUAAAUUAAGUGCUAAAGUCAAUGACUGCUAAAGGUUUGUGAGCCAGCUAAUCGAUCAUCAGGAGGCAGCAGUGACUCACCUUCUCACCAAAGGCUCUCUGACCGUCUGCUCUCUGCAACUUUAAUGAUCAACAUCCCAGCUGUCCAUUAAAACCAACACUUCUCAUCACUUACUCACAGAGCGUGUCCGUGUUUGUUUGUGUCUGUGGGUUUCUCAAAAUGAAUACUACUGUGCUCCGAGCACAGGAGGGUCGGAGUAUGUGUCCAACUUGAAGUUUGCGAAACGGAGCACGGAGGGCACUUCUCGAAAUGUGUAGUCCGUUUGAAUGUAUUUUGAAGCAUGCAUCAAUGCAAGCUUCAACUGAAAGUAUGCAAAGACAUAUGAUCCAACCACAUAAAAAAUGACGCAAAAUUUCUUGAAAUCAAUUGUGGCCAUUAUUUGAGCUGAAGUUUACUCCAAUUAGGGGAGGUGUGGUAGGCUUAGGGGAAUAUAAUGAAGGAAAAUAUAUUUCCACUCCCCCAUAUAUUUUUUUGUGUAAAUGUAUACGCUACCAUUAAAAAGCUUGG